This 202-nucleotide long non-coding RNA is filed under the name Elaeis guineensis (African oil palm). RNAcentral's name for it is "long non-coding RNA (EGUI_LNC019907)". Lineage: Eukaryota; Viridiplantae; Streptophyta; Magnoliopsida; Arecales; Arecaceae. The record is from RNAcentral.
CAAUUUUGAAAGCAUUUGAUGAAAAGAAGGACUCUCCAAAUCUUGGAGAGAUGCGAUGCUUCUGCACGCGUGCAAGACUUCCUUCAUUUUUUCAAUUUUUCUCCAUCCUAAAAAUUCUAGAAAAAAUAUAUCUCAUACUUUGAGAUAUGCACCAGAGGAUGGAGGGUGAUAUGGGCUAUCACACAUAUCUUAAUCCCAUGCC